ACGACUACCACAUUUUUUCAUAGAAAAUUUUUAGCUGUGGACUUUCUUUAGAAGACUCUUGCAUUAAAUAUUUAUAUUUUCCUUCUUCUUGGAACAAGGAACAUAGGAAGUCUUGAUGCCAACUAAAGUGUCAUUAGAGAAUUAUAAAAGAUGUUUAAGCAGGAAAAACCUAAAGGAUGAUACAUUUGUUUCUCAUUGCAAAUUUUUUCAAACAAAUGUGGAGAUUUAUUCCACAACCUUCAGCUUCCCAGGCCCAGGAUAACCAUCCACAAAGCCAUGGGUGAUAGAUGAUAUAAAAUUAUAAUUGAUUAAGCAAAAAUACUUCCUGAGAUCGAAAGCCAAAUUUUUUUUAUUGUAAGCUGCACAUUGUGUUGAAAAAACCAAAAGUGGAUAUUCCAAAAGAAGUUAACUGGCACCAUGAUUUAAUACUUCAUGAAUAACAGAUCCUUUCAUUCACUAAGUCUUGGUGGUCAAGCAAGUUGGUGUAGGAAAACAUAGUGACGCAGAGUUGUUUACCUUUUGUGCACAUUCUGUGUUGGCUUCUAUUCACCCAAGUAAUUAAUAAUCAUUUUUGUGUCUUCCCUAAAGCAAAGGAUUCCAGCAGCUGCUUGCUUCAUUUGAAUCCAGUUGACAAUCACAUUUACCAUCUGUUCCAAGUUUAAUGGGUGGUUUUUGUUUAGUAUAGUAAAAUUUAGCUUCAUCUGAUGGAAACAACCAUGUACCAAUCCUUUACACCCACCAAAACAACAAGAGAAGAGCUCAUCAUGGCCAAAGCUCAAGUUCUAGAGGUAUUAGAAAAGUCGUCGAUUUUUGGUUAGAGUUUCUACGCCGUCCGAUGCAUGAAUCGGAAUGAUGUUCACUUCCUCGACGUCAACACUCACAAAACUUUAUUGCAUUAUUCUUAUCUCGAGGUUAUAUCGACCCGCAAAGGUCAAACGUACGAGAUAUCCCUCCUCGUCCGGCAACUUACCAUCCAGCAACGCAUCCAUCAACAGAAUGUAUUAAAGAGGAAAUUAAUUGAACAAAUGCCUACUACGACGAUUUCCAUGCAAGAUGAAUGUUAAAAUCCAACGAGAUCUGGUGAGCAUGAUGAAACGGACUAUGUCUUGACAUGACCAUGACCAUUACCACCUGUAUUCAAUGGAUACCAUCAGAUCCCCAGAAUGAGAGGUUAAUAAUCAUACUGAAUCAAAAGAGGCAUCAAGUUAAACAAGAUUUUAAAAUGAUAACAGUUGGAAGCGCAUGUGGAAAUUUCGAAGAACGCUACCUAAACGUUACCUCUAGUCGCUGAUUCAUCUCGAAGAUAAAAUAAGAUAUUUUUAUAAAUUGAAGUGCAUAUCUGGACUCUCUUCUUUUCUGUGGCCCCGUUUCCCCUUGACUUAUGAUAAGCCCGUAGGGGGUCAUGCCCCUACUGUGAUCAGCAGCAAAGGUUGUGAGUGCG
This is a long non-coding RNA of Daphnia magna, 1441 nucleotides long. RefSeq lists it as uncharacterized. The transcript is spliced from 9 exons. Lineage: Eukaryota; Metazoa; Arthropoda; Branchiopoda; Diplostraca; Daphniidae. The record is from RefSeq and is a predicted model, not a curated record.